Molecule: ribosomal RNA, 498 nt
Filed under: uncultured bacterium
Lineage: Bacteria
Description: partial 16S ribosomal RNA
Rfam family: Bacterial small subunit ribosomal RNA
Source: RNAcentral
GAUGAACGCUGGCGGCGUGCCUAAUACAUGCAAGUCGAGCGAACAGACGAGGAGCUUGCUCCUCUGACGUUAGCGGCGGACGGGUGAGUAACACGUGGAUCACCUACCUAUCAGACUGGGAUAACUUCGGGAAACCGGAGCUAAUACCGGAUAAUCUAUUGAACCGCAUGGUUCAAUGGUGAAAGACGGUUUUGCUGUCACUUAUAGAUGGAUCCGCGCCGCAUUAGCUAGUUGGGAAGGUAACGGGUUACCAAGGCAACGAUGCGUAUGCGCCCUGAGGGGGUGGGUAGCCGGACUGGGACGGUGACACGGUCCAGUCGCCUUCGGGUGGCAGCAGUAGGGAUUCGGGCGCCAUCAGUGAGAGACAUACGAAGAUACGCCGCGUGCGGGAGGAAGGUCGUCGGGUCGUAAAACACGGUUAUUAGGGAAGAACAAAUGUGUAACUAACUAGGAGCGUCUGUACCGUUCCUAAGCAGAGAGCCACCGCCAACUUCGGUC